Molecule: ribosomal RNA, 777 nt
Filed under: Triticum aestivum (bread wheat)
Lineage: Eukaryota; Viridiplantae; Streptophyta; Magnoliopsida; Poales; Poaceae
Description: partial small subunit ribosomal RNA
Source: RNAcentral
AUGGUUAAGCGCAGUAGGAAAGAUGCAUACGGUGAAGGAUUUUGCCAGAAACUCACAUUGUGGCCUGGUCUCAUUGAGGGAGCCUGGAUCAACAAAAUCAAGAUGACCGCCAACUUCUCUAUGACACACAUUUGUCAAUUUGUUGAACUUUGGCUUCUGAUCUCGGAAUUCUCACUUGAGGAGCACGCGGAGGAUGAGAUUACUUGGAAGCAUGCCAAUGAUGGUCAAUACUCCACGGUGACGGCUUACUCCGCGCAAUUUCUUGGAAUGGUCCACUCUCCUAUGGAUCACACGGUCUGGAAGGUUUGGGCACCAUCCAAGGUGAAAUUCUUUGCUUGGCUGGCCAUACAAGAUCGAAUUUGGACUGCCGAUAGGUUGGCCCGUCGUGGAUGGCCAAACUGUCAACUCUGUCCGCUAUGCAAAAGAGAACAAGAAUCUGGGCUACACCUUUUCGUCAAAUGUCGAUUCACCCUUCGCCUAUGGAAUUUGGUCAAUGAGUGGGCACAUUUAGAAGAACUUGACACAUCUACUUGGCACCUCGAGGACUCUUUAAAGGAAUGGUGGGUAAAUAGAUCAAGCAAGAGCACCCCCAACCGGAAAGCCAUGGCCUCCCUCACCAUGCUAUUGGGAUGGACCAUUUGGAACGAACGGAACGCCCGGGUCUUUCGACAAAAGAGUAUGCCUCCAACGAUUUUGCUCAACAACAUCAAGAGUGAAGCUAUCCUUUGGGUAACCGCCGGGGCGAAGAAAUUGGGCAACAUCAUACCGGGAGAGUAA